This 433-nucleotide ribosomal RNA is filed under the name uncultured bacterium. RNAcentral's name for it is "partial 16S ribosomal RNA". It matches the Rfam family "Bacterial small subunit ribosomal RNA", at positions 29 to 507 of the family's 1533-position model. The record is from RNAcentral.
AACGAACGCUGGCGGCAUGCCUAACACAUGCAAGUCGAACGAAGGCUUCGGCCUUAGUGGCGCACGGGUGCGUAACGCGUGGGAAUCUGCCCUUUGCUUCGGAAUAACAGUUAGAAAUGACUGCUAAUACCGGAUGAUGUCGCAAGACCAAAGAUUUAUCGGCAAAGGAUGAGCCCGCGUAGGAUUAGCUAGUUGGUGGGGUAAAGGCCUACCAAGGCGACGAUCCUUAGCUGGUCUGAGAGGAUGAUCAGCCACACUGGGACUGAGACACGGCCCAGACUCCUACGGGAGGCAGCAGUGGGGAAUAUUGGACAAUGGGCGAAAGCCUGAUCCAGCAAUGCCGCGUGAGUGAUGAAGGCCUUAGGGUUGUAAAGCUCUUUUACCCGGGAUGAUAAAGACAGUACCGGGAGAAUAAGCUCCGGCUAACUCCGUG